UCCCAGGUGGCUCAGUGGUAAUGAAUCUGCUUGCAAUGCAGAAGUCUCAGGAGAUACAGGUUUGAUCCCUGUGUUGGGAA
This 80-nucleotide transfer RNA is filed under the name Bos taurus (domestic cattle). It matches the Rfam family "tRNA". Rfam says of the family: Transfer RNA (tRNA) molecules are approximately 80 nucleotides in length. Their secondary structure includes four short double-helical elements and three loops (D, anti-codon, and T loops). Lineage: Eukaryota; Metazoa; Chordata; Mammalia; Artiodactyla; Bovidae. RNAcentral also lists the same sequence under 4 other names. The record is from Rfam by way of RNAcentral.